This is a long non-coding RNA of Frieseomelitta varia, 1923 nucleotides long. RefSeq lists it as uncharacterized. The record is from RefSeq and is a predicted model, not a curated record. The transcript has 3 exons. Lineage: Eukaryota; Metazoa; Arthropoda; Insecta; Hymenoptera; Apidae.
UAUUUUACACACGGUUUGGUCACUCGUUAUGGUCCGCAAUCAGUUGCCAGCGCAAGUGAUUAAAAGGCACGAGGGAUGCAUCGUGAAAACCCGCAUACCGUUUGAAAUGUUUGAAAUUCAGCUAGCGGCGGCCGUUUUUGCGACCUUCUUCGUAUCUAGUUUCGCCUAAAUGAGGCGCCAUGCCAAGGAUCAUUGACUCGCGCCUAACUGUACACGCGUUGAGAUAACACCUCGCCAUUCAGGAAGAGGAUCCUUGCCAGUCGCGUCCUAUAUAUCAACUAUGUACAUACAUAUGUAUGUAUACAUAUGUAUACUUGCUACGUGACCUCUAUUUUGUCAGGAAGAUUCCUAUGCGUGGAAAUAUCGAUGAGUAUUUUGUCACGACAUUUUAAAUAAUUUUAAUAUGACUGAAAAUUUUACUAUUUCUCCAAACUUUUCAGGCGUUCUAUAUCAACUAUGUAUGUAUGUAUACUACGUGACCUUCAUUUUGUCAGGACGAUUCCUGUGCGUGGAAAUAUCGACGAGUAUUUUGUCACAACAUUUUAAAUAAUUUUACUAUGACGAGAGAUCCCUUACGAUGAAUUCUGUUUUCUUGCUCGUCACGUACGCUAAAUGAAUCAAAUACGAGGCCGGAAGUGGAACGCCGGAAGCAAACGGAACAUCUGAACCGAUAAGGAACGCGCGGCCGAAGAACGGUACACGACGGUACACGUGAUGUAUCGAUCGUUUCGAUUGUUUCCCCUGGUCGAACGACGGGAACAACAUCCACCGUUGUUCUCAUUUCUCGAGAAUUUCUCAGUACUUUCUACUCGCCGACGAGUUUCGUUCCUCGACUGCAUUCGCAGUUACAAUAGCACUUGAUACAUCGCCACCGAUAACGAGCAAAAAUAGCAGCUUGAAGAAUGGUAAGAGAUCUCUGCCGAAGGUCCUUCGAUUUUUACUUUACCAAGCGACGACGCGAAACCCGCGUGAAACCCGACACUUCCGGACAAACUGGAAUUCGCUGGAAUUCCGUUACACCGUGGCAAAUGUUUAGGAAAUGUCUGUCUGCGUUUCUCGUCGUGGGAAAAUGCGGGCCUUUUCGAGUAACGAGCUCGUAGAGUAUUCAGGCUCCAAUCAGGAGGAAUGCGUGAACGUAUAUACAUAAGCGUUGACGAGGGCCACCUAACAUGGAGGAGAUCUAACAGUAAAUUCUGGUAUUCAUUGAUGGGCAUUCGUGCGAAUCAGCGCCCUGUCUAAUCCCCGUAUCGUUUCAAUAUUUAUUCCCCGUUAUUUCAUCAAGGAAGACACUUGAAAUUCUUCAAAGAGUUGAAAAUUCGUAUAAUUCAAAGUCUUCUCGAAUUUGGGCAUGAUAGGUAUGAACGCAUAAUUACGAAUAGCAAGGUGUAAAUGCCAGGUGCAGCAUGUUGAUUCAGUCGUGGAUGUUACGUCAUUGUCAUUGUCUCAAUGCUCUCAUACACGUAGUACCACGAAUUCUUGAAUCGUAUAAGUAUUUACCGACGACGUGUUUUCACAUCGACAGUUUUACAUUUUAAUUUACACUUAAGUGUAACUCGUAAAGUUUUCAACUAGAAAUCUUUUAGAGCCUUAAGUUUGAAAGUCAGGUGGAAUCCUUACUGAUCUCAGAUCCUGAUUCUCGCACAAUUCAUUAUAAAGCUGCAUCACUUUGUUCAUUCAAAGCUGAACUUACUUUAAGUUACUAGCUUAAUUGAUACAGUGAUUCCCAAUCUUUUUUUGGUCAUUCUCUAAACUCCUGAUAUCCCACCUCUGUGACACAAUUCUUAUUAUUGAAAAAGUGAUAUCAUUGACGUGGCGGAAGUUUAAAAGCCCAUUAACUUCAAGGUCUGAACAAGCUUCUAAAGAACAUGACAGAAAAUAAUAAAAGAACGAAAGAACAGUUGAAGAAAUCACUAAGAAAUUGUU